GCCCGGGUGGCGGAAUUGGCAGACGCGCCAGCUUGAGGGGCUGGUGAGAUUUAUCUCAUGCUGGUUCAAAUCCAGUCCCGGGCA
RNAcentral lists this transfer RNA (84 nucleotides) under Methylococcales bacterium. RNAcentral's name for it is "tRNA-Leu". It matches the Rfam family "tRNA". Rfam says of the family: Transfer RNA (tRNA) molecules are approximately 80 nucleotides in length. Their secondary structure includes four short double-helical elements and three loops (D, anti-codon, and T loops). Further hydrogen bonds mediate the characteristic L-shaped molecular structure. tRNAs have two regions of fundamental functional importance: the anti-codon, which is responsible for specific mRNA codon recognition, and the 3' end, to which the tRNAs corresponding amino acid is attached (by aminoacyl-tRNA synthetases). tRNAs cope with the degeneracy of the genetic code in two manners: having more than one tRNA (with a specific anti-codon) for a particular amino acid; and 'wobble' base-pairing, i.e. permitting non-standard base-pairing at the 3rd anti-codon position. Lineage: Bacteria; Pseudomonadati; Pseudomonadota; Gammaproteobacteria; Methylococcales. The record is from RNAcentral. RNAcentral also lists the same sequence under 1 other name.